CAUGGUUAAGUGGGAAACGAUGUGGGAAGGCCCAGACAGCCAGGAUGUUGGCUUAGAAGCAGCCAUCAUUUAAAGAAAGCGUAAUAGCUCACUGGUCGAGUCGGCCUGCGCGGAAGAUGUAACGGGGCUAAACCAUGCACCGAAGCUGCGGCAGCGACACUAUGUGUUGUUGGGUAGGGGAGCGUUCUGUAAGCCUGUGAAGGUGUACUGUGAGGUAUGCUGGAGGUAUCAGAAGUGCGAAUGCUGACAUAAGUAACGAUAAAGCGGGUGAAAAGCCCGCUCGCCGGAAGACCAAGGGUUCCUGUCCAACGUUAAUCGGGGCAGGGUGAGUCGACCCCUAAGGCGAGGCCGAAAGGCGUAGUCGAUGGGAAACAGGUUAAUAUUCCUGUACUUGGUGUUACUGCGAAGGGGGGACGGAGAAGGCUAUGUUGGCCGGGCGACGGUUGUCCCGGUUUAAGCGUGUAGGCUGGUUUUCCAGGCAAAUCCGGAAAAUCAAGGCUGAGGCGUGAUGACGAGGCACUACGGUGCUGAAGCGACAAAUGCCCUGCUUCCAGGAAAAGCCUCUAAGCAUCAGGUAACAUCAAAUCGUACCCCAAACCGACACAGGUGGUCAGGUAGAGAAUACCAAGGCGCUUGAGAGAACUCGGGUGAAGGAACUAGGCAAAAUGGUGCCGUAACUUCGGGAGAAGGCACGCUGAUAUGUAGGUGAAGCGACUUGCUCGUGGAGCUGAAAUCAGUCGAAGAUACCAGCUGGCUGCAACUGUUUAUUAAAAACACAGCACUGUGCAAACACGAAAGUGGACGUAUACGGUGUGACGCCUGCCCGGUGCCGGAAGGUUAAUUGAUGGGGUUAGCGGUAACGCGAAGCUCUUGAUCGAAGCCCCGGUAAACGGCGGCCGUAACUAUAACGGUCCUAAGGUAGCGAAAUUCCUUGUCGGGUAAGUUCCGACCUGCACGAAUGGCGUAAUGAUGGCCAGGCUGUCUCCACCCGAGACUCAGUGAAAUUGAACUCGCUGUGAAGAUGCAGUGUACCCGCGGCAAGACGGAAAGACCCCGUGAACCUUUACUAUAGCUUGACACUGAACAUUGAGCCUUGAUGUGUAGGAUAGGUGGGAGGCUUUGAAGUGUGGACGCCAGUCUGCAUGGAGCCGACCUUGAAAUACCACCCUUUAAUGUUUGAUGUUCUAACGUGGGCCCCUUACCGGGGUUGCGGACAGUGUCUGGUGGGUAGUUUGACUGGGGCGGUCUCCUCCUAAAGAGUAACGGAGGAGCACGAAGGUUGGCUAAUCCUGGUCGGACAUCAGGAGGUUAGUGCAAUGGCAUAAGCCAGCUUGACUGCGAGCGUGACGGCGCGAGCAGGUGCGAAAGCAGGUCAUAGUGAUCCGGUGGUUCUGAAUGGAAGGGCCAUCGCUCAACGGAUAAAAGGUACUCCGGGGAUAACAGGCUGAUACCGCCCAAGAGUUCAUAUCGACGGCGGUGUUUGGCACCUCGAUGUCGGCUCAUCACAUCCUGGGGCUGAAGUAGGUCCCAAGGGUAUGGCUGUUCGCCAUUUAAAGUGGUACGCGAGCUGGGUUUAGAACGUCGUGAGACAGUUCGGUCCCUAUCUGCCGUGGGCGCUGGAGAACUGAGGGGGGCUGCUCCUAGUACGAGAGGACCGGAGUGGACGCAUCACUGGUGUUCGGGUUGUCAUGCCAAUGGCACUGCCCGGUAGCUAAAUGCGGAAGAGAUAAGUGCUGAAAGCAUCUAAGCACGAAACUUGCCCCGAGAUGAGUUCUCCCUGACUCCUUGAGAGUCCUGAAGGAACGUUGAAGACGACGACGUUGAUAGGCCGGGUGUGUAAGCGCAGCGAUGCGUUGAGCUAACCGGUACUAAUGAACCGUGAGGCUUAACCUU
RNAcentral lists this ribosomal RNA (1893 nucleotides) under Escherichia coli. RNAcentral's name for it is "partial 23S ribosomal RNA". It matches the Rfam family "Bacterial large subunit ribosomal RNA", at positions 1054 to 2925 of the family's 2925-position model. Lineage: Bacteria; Pseudomonadati; Pseudomonadota; Gammaproteobacteria; Enterobacterales; Enterobacteriaceae. The record is from RNAcentral.